GAGGACAGUGGGUAGGUGGAGAGGUACAGAGGCGAAACAGAAGAUUUUUUGGGCGUGGAAAUGGACUGCCGGGUAUGCGUUGCGGGUGGGGAUUUAUGGGUCAAGGUAGGCGGCCGCGUUGGAGGUGGAAUUGGCGGUGUGGGUCAGAUGGGAGGUUUUAGCCAUGAGAGCGAGCAUGAUUUGGCUCUUAUGGUUAGCGAUUUUUUGGAAAAUGGG
This 216-nucleotide unclassified non-coding RNA is filed under the name Hevea brasiliensis (rubber tree). The record is from RNAcentral. Lineage: Eukaryota; Viridiplantae; Streptophyta; Magnoliopsida; Malpighiales; Euphorbiaceae.